Molecule: non-coding RNA, 113 nt
Organism: Acanthosepion pharaonis
Lineage: Eukaryota; Metazoa; Mollusca; Cephalopoda; Sepiida; Sepiidae
Source: the annotation of a GenBank genome assembly
CGUGUAUACCACAUUGAAACACCAGUUCUCAUACAAUCAUCGAAGUUAAGCAAGAUUGAGCCUAGUCAGUACCUACAGGGGUGACCAGCUUAGGAAUAUCAGGUGCUGUAAGC